UACGUAGGGUGCAAGCGUUAAUCGGAAUUACUGGGCGUAAAGCGUGCGCAGGCGGUUAUGCAAGACAGAUGUGAAAUCCCCGGGCUCAACCUGGGAACUGCAUUUGUGACUGUAUAGCUAGAGUACGGUAGAGGGGGAUGGAAUUCCGCGUGUAGCAGUGAAAUGCGUAGAUAUGCGGAGGAACACCGAUGGCGAAGGCAAUCCCCUGGACCUGUACUGACGUUCAUGCACGAAAGCGUGGGGAGCAAACAGG
Molecule: ribosomal RNA, 253 nt
Filed under: uncultured bacterium
Lineage: Bacteria
Description: partial 16S ribosomal RNA
Rfam family: Bacterial small subunit ribosomal RNA
Source: RNAcentral